Molecule: long non-coding RNA, 625 nt
Filed under: Ananas comosus (pineapple)
Lineage: Eukaryota; Viridiplantae; Streptophyta; Magnoliopsida; Poales; Bromeliaceae
Description: long non-coding RNA (ACOM_LNC011208)
Source: RNAcentral
UAAUCAAUUAAUUUUCUAAAUUAGUGCUAAUUAAUGCAUAAAUUUAGGACCUCAAUUAAAAGUUUCUUUAAAUAUUGUAUUAUUUAAUUACCAAACUAAUCUUGAAUAAAAUAAUUUUUUUACCUGCUAAGUAUUAAUGUUAUAUUUUUAUCCUCUAUUAAUCAAUGGUUAAGAUCUUUUUUAUUUUUUUUAAAAAAAAGUACCGAAUCAUUUCUCUUCUCUUUAUGUAUUGGAUUAUUUCUCUACAUACUGUUCAUGAUAUAUAAAUAUUGUAGAGAGAAGUAAAAGAGAUGAAAUUUUAUUUUGUUUAAUAUUUUUAUCAUCGGGUGUUGAAAGAGUCUUCGUCAACCUCUUCCGCGUUCGUGCUCGUAGGAGGAGGAAUUCCGGUCGUACCUUGGGGCGGUGUUUCCGGUUAAUCCCGCACGUAAGGACGGAAAUACACCUUAGGGCAGUGCCUCGCACGCUUCCGGAUCGAUUAAAUUUUCUAUUUGGAUUUAGCAAUUAUUUGUAAGUUGAUUUGUUUAUUUUCAUAACAAAAUUUAGUUAGUUUUGAAUCACAAUCAGAUUAUUCGUUGCGGUAUUUGUUCUAACAGAUCAAUCGUGUUAUUUUACCCCUCGAAGCUCU